Molecule: ribosomal RNA, 158 nt
Filed under: Taiwanofungus camphoratus
Lineage: Eukaryota; Fungi; Basidiomycota; Agaricomycetes; Polyporales; Taiwanofungaceae
Description: 5.8S ribosomal RNA
Rfam family: 5.8S ribosomal RNA (bases 1-125)
About the family: 5.8S ribosomal RNA (5.8S rRNA) is a component of the large subunit of the eukaryotic ribosome. It is transcribed by RNA polymerase I as part of the 45S precursor that also contains 18S and 28S rRNA.
Source: RNAcentral
GCAUCGAUGAAGAACACGGCGAAAUGUGAUAAGUAAUGUGAAUUGCAGAAUUCAGUGAAUCAUCGAAUCUUUGAACGCACCUUGCGCUCCUUGGUAUUCUGAGGAGCAUGCCUGUUUGAGUGUCAUAGGUGUUAUCAACCCUUUUGACUUUUUGUUGA